AGCUGAGCGUUUUUUGAUGACGUUACUGUUUUCUGGCAGUUCCCAAGCCGGAUCUAGAUUCAUACGUGUUUUUGAGAGUGAAAGAACGACAAGAAAACAUAUUGGUAGAGCCAGAAACAGACGAGCAGAGGGAUUAUGUGAUUGACUUGGAGGAAGGCUCGCAGCACUUGAUCCGAUAUAAAACCAUUGCACCUCUGGUUGCUUCUGGAGCAGUACAGCUAAUUUAAAACCAAAAAUGAACAAGGAAGAAUGAAGACAUGGAACCUGAGAGAAAAUAUUUAGAUACCCCUCAUAUCACUUUGUGCCUAAAGACAAGAGACUUUUCUCAGCAGUGCUGUGGAUCAUUUGGGCCCUGAGAAGGUGCUCAGGGCAGAUUCCUAACUGGCUGCGUGUCCUAACUUUCCGCUGUUUUAGCCAGAACCAGCAGAUGGGGCCCUUACUCUGUUGAUUCUGCACGCUGGGCGGUUACAUGGAGACUUUCGCUUUGUGCGCCUCCCCUUGGUGGUUAUUUUUUGAACUAAGGAAAGUGAGGCGAAGGUAGUUCAUACAGAGAUAUCACUGCCUGUGAUUAGGAGACAGUCAUUAGCCCUGACCUGAUACUGGCAGGAGAGUUCAUUUAACCAUCCUAGUAGGAAGAGUCUAAAUAGGUUAAGGAAAACAACUGCAGUCUUCUUCUAUGCCGUGUCACUAACUUGUGUAAACUAACCUUUUGGAAGUUCUGAAUAGGACUUAAAACCAACUCCUCUCAUGCUUAACUGGGAGUCACAACUAAACCAAUAACCAUUAUUAAGUUUCAGUUUUGUGGCAGAAAAAACCUCGGGAGAGUUGUUGACUUGUAGUCUAAUGCAGUAUGUCCUCCCUGCUGCUGACCUGCAGCCUUCCCUGAAUCUCAGAGCGUGGCCAAGCCAGCCUCCAUGCCAUCUGGCCAUCCUUUUCCAGAGCUCUUAGCACAGCAACAUUGAUAUCCUAUAUUGUGACCUCAGUAGCAACUUUUCUUUUUUAAGCACUUCGCUUUCUCAAGGGAAAUGGAUGAAAUUAAACUAAUGUGUGAAUAGAGACUAUCACCAAUACCCAAAGGAGGGAUGUGAACAGUGAAUGAACCAUCUUUCUUUCAAACAUAACAAGCAGCCUGGAUUCCAGUCUUUUCUUGCUUAAUAAAAAGGCAGGAGAUUUUCACUUACACGUCAUAGGCUGUAGAGUAAUUGAUGUAAUAUUGUUGUCAUUUCCAAGAGAAAUCGCUAGAUGAAAGCAAGGAAGGUUUUAUGCAUUUUAUAUUCAUA
RNAcentral lists this long non-coding RNA (1280 nucleotides) under Rhinolophus ferrumequinum (greater horseshoe bat). Its description in RNAcentral is "lncRNA (ENSRFEG00010016361.1)". Lineage: Eukaryota; Metazoa; Chordata; Mammalia; Chiroptera; Rhinolophidae. The record is from RNAcentral.